This 919-nucleotide long non-coding RNA is filed under the name Cyanistes caeruleus (blue tit). RNAcentral describes it as "lncRNA (ENSCCEG00000001652.1)". Lineage: Eukaryota; Metazoa; Chordata; Aves; Passeriformes; Paridae. The record is from RNAcentral.
AGAAAAAGAGAGAGAGAUUAUGGGGUGUGUGGACCAUAUAAUGCUUGUGUUUGAACUUGAUCCACCUGAGGAACCAGCAGGAUGAUAUGGUAGGGGCCCACCUUGUCCCUUUCGUCUUAAAAUUCGGAGAAAGGAACUGUGUGCAUCAAAAUUUGUCCUCUAUUAGAGGUUUAUUUUGUCAUAAUCCUUGUCUGUGCUAGACACUUCCAUGUAAAUCAUCCGCAUUCUCAAACACACAGCAAACAUCAGGAGAGCUGUUAACAUGUGCAGAAAGGUGUCAGAACAUGUUCUGUGUGUGGCUGGAGAAAUCCUGAUGUGAGUAGCUGAAGGUCCUUGGCCAUGCAGCUGGCCCUCACAGCUCCCUGCUUUGGCCCUGUCAUUGGGAGAGAAUGGCUGGGAUGACACACUGCUGGAGACAGCCUCUGCCAAUACACUGAGUCUUCAGUGGGACCCCUGGAUGCUUCUGCUCAGUGUUCCACCUCACCUCCUUGAUGAGAAAGGGGUAUUCCUCCCAAAAAACAUGAGUUGUUCUCACCUUUCUGGAGUCUGAACUUCUUUACAUUUGAGGUAUUACAGGUAACUCUGUGGGGAGAACAGAAGUAGAUGGACAGACAGAAAGGUAUACAGAAGAAUAAUCUAUGGUCAGAUUAGAAAGAAGUACCCACUAUUUUCAGAAAAAUAAGUUUUUGUUACGUAAAGGAGCAAUGAUUUAAUAUUGCAAGAUAAGUACUUUCCUUAGGAGUAGAUGUUAAUUGGCUUGUAGUAGGGUUUGCUUCUGUGCAAAGAUUUCUUCAUUCAGUCUUAACUUUUUUGCUGCCAUAAUGUUAGUGAAGUAUUUGUUAUACUUGAACAGAGCAAAAGCAGUAAGACAUUUACAUUCUUUCUGUGAAAAAAAAAAAAUAGUAUUAUCAGUUUCCAG